RNAcentral lists this long non-coding RNA (320 nucleotides) under Equus caballus (horse). RNAcentral describes it as "lncRNA (ENSECAG00000049488.1)". The record is from RNAcentral. Lineage: Eukaryota; Metazoa; Chordata; Mammalia; Perissodactyla; Equidae.
UUGACCCAUUGAAAAGGGGCUUCACCAUCAACUUGAUAUAGCCAAUAGAAUGUUAGUAAAUUUGAUAUAAGCAGAGGGUUUAAAUACGUUUGGUAUGUAAUUUAGUUUGGUUUCUUGCAUGCCUGCCAUUCACCAUGAGAGAACAUGCCUCAGACAGCUGCUGGUCCAAGGAGGAUAAAACCUGAACACAAUCUGCAAAUUGGAGUCUGGAGCCUGGAUUUCAGCCUAGCCCAGAUCUACCCUAAAAGAAUGGCUAAAGGAAGUCCUAAAAACAGAAAAGAAAUGACGAAAGAAGGAAUCUUGAAACAUCAGGAAGGAAG